RNAcentral lists this ribosomal RNA (478 nucleotides) under uncultured bacterium. RNAcentral's name for it is "partial 16S ribosomal RNA". It matches the Rfam family "Bacterial small subunit ribosomal RNA", at positions 28 to 507 of the family's 1533-position model. The record is from RNAcentral.
GAUGAACGCUGGCGGCGUGCUUAACACAUGCAAGUCGAACGAGAAGUGAAGACGGAAACCUUCGGGCGGAAGGCUUUAUUUCGAGUGGCGGACGGGUGAGUAACGCGUGGGUAACCUGCCUCAUACAGGGGGAUAACAGUUGGAAACGACUGUUAAUACCGCAUAAGACCACAGCACCGCAUGGUGCGGGGGUAAAAACUCCGGUGGUAUGAGAUGGACCCGCGUUCGAUUAGCCAGUUGGCGGGGUAACGGCCCACCAAAGCGACGAUCGAUAGCCGAUCUGAGAGGAUGACCGGACACAUUGGGACUGAGACACGGCCGAAACUCCUACGGGAGGCAGCAGUGGGGAAUAUUGCAAAAUGGGGGAAAUGCUGAUGCAGCGACGCCGCGUGAGUGAAGAAGUAUUUCGGUAUGUAAAGCUCUAUCAGCAGGGAAGAAAAUGACGGUACCUGAGUAAGAAGCCCCGGCUAACUACGUG